GCAGGCCUAAUACAUGCAAGUCGAGCGCACCUUCGGGUGAGCGGCGGACGGGUGAGUAACGCGUGGGAACGUGCCCUUUGGUACGGGAUAACUGAGGGAAACUUCAGCUAAUACCGUAUGUGCCCUACGGGGGAAAGAUUUAUCGCCAUUGGAGCGGCCCGCGUUGGAUUAGGUAGUUGGUGGGGUAAAGGCCCACCAAGCCGACGAUCCAUAGCUGGUCUGAGAGGAUGAUCAGCCACACUGGGACUGAGACACGGCCCAGACUCCUACGGGAGGCAGCAGUAGGGAAUCUUGCGCAAUGGGCGAAAGCCUGACGCAGCCAUGCCGCGUGAAUGAUGAAGGUCUUAGGAUUGUAAAAUUCUUUCACCGGGGAAGAUAAUGACGGUACCCGGAGAAGAAGCCCCGGCUAACUUCGUGCCAGCAGCCGCGGUAAUACGAAGGGGGCUAGCGUUGCUCGGAAUUACUGGGCGUAAAGGGCGCGUAGGCGGAUGUUUAAGUCGGGGGUGAAAGCCCGGGGCUCAACCUCGGAAUUGCCUUCGAUACUGGACAUCUUGAGUACGGGAGAGGUGAGUGGAACUCCGAGUGUAGAGGUGAAAUUCGUAGAUAUUCGGAAGAACACCAGUGGCGAAGG
Molecule: ribosomal RNA, 631 nt
Filed under: uncultured Alphaproteobacteria bacterium
Lineage: Bacteria; Pseudomonadati; Pseudomonadota; Alphaproteobacteria
Description: bacterial SSU rRNA
Rfam family: Bacterial small subunit ribosomal RNA
Source: RNAcentral